CAAUUGACAACCAAUUAAAGAGUCGCAAUAUAAUUCAAAAUAAUUUCAAACUAACGUGCCAGAAAUACUAAAUUCCAUAAACAAUACUUUUGCUUGAGAAUUUCGGUUAAAUAAGUUAGAAAGAUUCCCAAAAGUCGCAACACGAGCGGCAAUAAAAUCACGCAUAGCAAGCAGUACAAGCCCAAAUACAAGCAUACAUGAAAGUAAACAAGCAAAAGGUUUUGCUUUUCCAAGCGAGCCAUAACAUUUGCUGUCAAGAAAAUGUCAACUUAAGAUAACUGCAUCGGUGCAGAGGGGAGGUCAAAACGUUUGCGAAAAGAUAGGAGGGGGAAUGAUUUCCAUUAACUAAGCGUUCGGCGAUUUAAGAAAUCGCUAGGUGAACAAGCCUAUCCAAUCAACUAUUGAGAAAAUAAUUUGGCGCAGCGAUUAAGUGGCUCACCAUGAUUCAAUUAUUAAAGGUUUGCUCAUUUGACACUCCCUCAGAAAAGGUUGCAUUUAUGCAGGUGAAGAAAGUGGAAAAACUAAAUCCUUUUUGGUGAAAAUGGUAGCAAAAAUGUAUUGUUUUACUUAAAUGAAACAAACUGCAAACUGUUUAAAAAUUAAAUUUUAAUCAAUAUUUGAAUGUAAAUAGUAUAUUUUUUGGACAAUACAAAUA
Long non-coding RNA from Anastrepha obliqua, 655 nucleotides. RefSeq lists it as uncharacterized. The transcript has 3 exons. NCBI's taxonomy places the organism in Eukaryota, Metazoa, Arthropoda, Insecta, Diptera, Tephritidae. The record is from RefSeq and is a predicted model, not a curated record.